GAUGAACGCUGGCGGCGUGCCUAAUACAUGCAAGUCGAGCGAACAGACGAGGCGCUUGCUCCUCUGACGUUAGCGGCGGACGGGUGAGUAACACGUGGAUAACCUACCUAUAAGACUGGGAUAACUUCGGGAAACCGGAGCUAAUACCGGAUAAUAUAUUGAACCGCAUGGUUCAAUGGUGAAAGACGGUUUUGCUGUCACUUGUAGAUGGUACCGCGCCGCAUUAGUUAGUUGGUAAGGUAACGGCUUACCAAGGCAACGAUGCGUAGCCGACCUGAGAGGGUGAUCGGCCACACUGGAACUGAGACGCGGUCCAGACUCCUAAGGUAGGCAGCAGUAGGGAAUCGUCCGCAAUGGGCGGAAACCUUACGGAGCAACGCCGCGUGAGUGAUGAAGGUCUUCGGAUCGUAAAACUCUGUUAUUAGGGAAGAACAAAUGUGUAAGUAACUAUGCACGUCUUGACGGUACCUAAUCAGAAAGCCACGGCUAACUACGUG
RNAcentral lists this ribosomal RNA (497 nucleotides) under uncultured bacterium. RNAcentral describes it as "partial 16S ribosomal RNA". It matches the Rfam family "Bacterial small subunit ribosomal RNA", at positions 28 to 507 of the family's 1533-position model. The record is from RNAcentral.